UCCCCAGAAUCCAACCUCACCUUGUCUCAGUCGUCCGAUCUACUGGUUCAGAGUUUAAAGCACCGAAUCUCACACAAAAGCAAGAGAGAGAAAAGGAGGAGAGAGAGAGAAGAUGACGACUGAGAAAGAGAGGGAAGUUUAUGUAUACCAGGCCAAGCUUGCGGAGCAGGCAGAGAGAUAUGAGGAGAUGGUGGAAGCCAUGAAAGGGGUGGCAAAAUUGGAUGUGGAAUUGACAGUUGAAGAGAGGAAUUUGCUGUCAGUGGGGUAUAAGAAUGUUAUAGGGGCUCGGAGGGCGUCAUGGAGGAUCAUGUCUUCCAUUGAGCAAAAGGAGGAGGCCAAAGGAAAUGAUCAGAAUGUGAAGAGGAUAAGGGAUUAUAGGCACAAGGUAGAAGAGGAGCUCUCUAAUAUAUGCAGCGACAUUCUUACUGUUAUUGACGAGCAUCUCGUUCCUUCUUCAAACUCUGCAGAAUCCAUGGUUUUCUAUUAUAAGAUGAAAGGGGACUAUUAUCGGUACUUAGCGGAGUUUAAAUCAUUAAGUGGAAGGAAAGAAGCUGCCGACCAGUCACUGAAGGCAUACCAGGCUGCCACCAAUACUGCCUCCACAGACUUGCCCCCAACUCACCCAAUCAGACUUGGCCUUGCACUGAACUUCUCUGUCUUUUACUAUGAAAUACUGAACUCUCCUGAGAGAGCAUGUCAUCUUGCAAAGCAAGCAUUUGAUGAAGCCAUUGCUGAGCUUGAUAGCCUCAAUGAGGAGUCCUACAAGGACAGCACUCUCAUCAUGCAGCUCCUUCGUGACAAUCUUACUCUUUGGACCUCUGAUCUUCCUGAGGAUGGGAAUUGCUAAUGGUUUUGUGAAUGAUAUCAUUUGAGUUGACAGCUGAAGAUCAACCCAAGGGUGAUCAUGACGACGAGUAGUAGCAUCGGACUUCAACCUUUAGUAGCAGGAAAACUCUCUUUUAAGCAGCUGGAAAUCUCUCUCCCUCUCUCUAUUUGUGUGUGUGUGGGGUGUGUGUGUUAUUCUUCUCUUUAUUGGUAGUCUCAUGAUUUUAAUUAUGAUUUUAAUUGGUUUAAGUAGGCUUGGUGGCUUGAGGCAUGUAUUAUUAUUGUUUGCGGCUAUUGACCUUCCAUUUUUCCUUAUUUAUUUGGUAUGUUCAGCUUUCCACGUCCUAGUUAAAGAACAUUAGUAUUAUCGCAAUGGAACAUAUAUAUGGCAAUGUAUAAAAAGAAGCUUGUAACCCCUAUGUGGGUGGCGAUA
Molecule: RNA transcript, 1258 nt
Organism: Amborella trichopoda
Lineage: Eukaryota; Viridiplantae; Streptophyta; Magnoliopsida; Amborellales; Amborellaceae
Gene name: 14-3-3-like protein D
Source: RefSeq, a predicted model, not a curated record